CCUCCAUGAUCUGCGGGCAGAUCAGGUGGACGUGGCAGUCGAUGGCCCCGGCGGUGAGGAUGCGGCCGUUGCCCGCGAUGAUCUCGGUGGACGGACCGACGACGAGGUCCGGGUGCACCCCGGACAUGAUGUCGGGGUUACCCGCCUUACCGAUCGCCACGAUCCGGCCGUCGCGAAUGCCGACAUCGGCCUUGACGAUUCCCCAGUGGUCCAGGAUGACCACGCCGGUGAUGACGGUGUCGGGUGCCCCUUCGGCCCUGGUCGCCCUGGACUGCCCCAUCGAUUCGCGCAG
Molecule: small RNA, 292 nt
Filed under: Mycolicibacterium fluoranthenivorans
Lineage: Bacteria; Bacillati; Actinomycetota; Actinomycetes; Mycobacteriales; Mycobacteriaceae
Description: 5' ureB small RNA
Rfam family: 5' ureB small RNA
Source: RNAcentral